AAAAUUUGUCACUAAUUUUUGGCGCCCUCAAUUUAGAUACGGAUUUAGCAACAAAAACUGAGCACCUAAUCAUACGGAUUUACCCUAAGGCACAAAUUGGUAAAACAUCAGUCUUUCUUCUAACAUAGUAGAAACGCGCUGGGAGCAAAAUUAGGCGGCUGGGAGCAAAAUCAGUAGAAGACACACCUCGAGGGCAAGAACAAGAGCAAAAAUCAGUAGCCAACGUGAAUCUAAGAUAUGACUCGAGGGAGAGACAGAGAUAGCAUAGCUCGUGGAGGCAAGUCCUCAGUUAGGGGUAGGGGUAAUUCUGCUAUUCGUGCAAAUAUGCCUUAUGUUCCCAUUCCCAUAAUUAGUCCUCAACAAGGUGGUACGAGUUCUUUAGUUGGAUAGAAUCACAUAAAUCAAGUACAAACUUUAGCUCCUAGCAGUACGACACCCGUUCAAACUUCAGGUCAUGUUAGUACCCCAACUAUCCAUUUUGAAUCAUCUCCUAAUACACCUGAUCAGAGUAACCCAAUAGGUGAGGGCAUAUCUACUCAAAGCAACACAAUUGGCGAAGGUUAGAACCUAGUGGAUUAUGCUCGACGAAAAUAUUUAAAUCUUUCAAGCAUGAACUUGAUCUCAAUGGAAUCAAUUAGAAAAGUGUCUCUGACGAGAUAAAAAACUUUUAUUGGGGAGAAUUCAAGAAGAAAUUCUAUUGGGACUCUUCCAUUGAUAGUGCAGUGAGGAGCCAAUGGGAGAAUAAGGCAUCAAUAAGGUACAAAGAUUUCAUUUCCAAAAUGAAAACUAAAAAAAUUAGGCCAAGAGGUGUUCCAGUAGAAGUGUGGGAAAGUUGGGAUCAACUUUGGAAAGAUCCCAAGUGUGUUGAAAAGUCAGAAAUAAAUGUAAAUAAUCGUCGUGGCGGUAGGGGUGGAGUCUCCACCGGGACUCACACAGGCGGCUCUAUCUCCAUUGGGGAGUAUCGCAAGAGACUUGUAAGUAUAUCGCAACCUUAGCUUUAUUGCAACUCUGAACUUAAAAUUUCUUCUUGUUGGUGUUAAAAAUUGCUUAUAGUAACCUUAGCUUUCAUAUCGUCCAAAAGGAAUCAAAAUGUACCAAGGUUUUGCCAGUGAAAAAUGUUCCCUUUGAUAGUUGUUAUAGUUGGCACUGUCAGACGAACAACAAUAAAAGAAGAAAAUGAUUUUACAUUGAAAAUGAUUCAUCAGUUGUAGUUUUGCUCUUGCAUUUCUGGGUUCUAGGUAAGGUUGUAGUUGAACUCCUACCUUGCUGUUUCCUCCUGCUUGUAUUUAGCUGUUUUGGACUUGUGUCUCGCUGAUCCAGGUACUGAUUUCAGUAUCAGAUGAUGUACUGUCAUGUGAUUGUUCUAGCAUUAAAAUCUGCCUCAAUUUGUUCAUCUAUAUGAAGUGAAUUCAUAAGUAAUUGUCUGUAUUGUUUGGACAUUGUUCAAGUUCCCUGGAUUUUGAAUCUGACAUGAGAAACAGGGAAUUAAAUCUGUUCAAAAGCCAGAAAAGAUACUUAGUCUGUGCAAAUUAAAAAUGAAGUGAAGUUUGCUUCCUAAAACCUAUGAUCGAGUGACAUUUAAACAUGCUACAACUACACAUGCUUCUUAAUUUGUCUGGAAUUUGGACUGUCCAAUUUGUGUUGCGAAAAAUAGUUACACUGCAAAACUAUCUUGCUGAGAGAAUCUAAGGCAUACUUGGGCAGUAAUUUGUCUGUAAUUCGAUCAAUCAAUCAGCUAGUCCUCAGUCCUCACCCACAAACUAGACUGUCGCUUUUAUGAAUCCUCUAUGCGCACUCGCACAUACACACACCACCACUAAAAUAACAACUACAACAAUAGCAUGUGUGUAUGUAUAUAUACACAUAUGUUCCAUCUGAAGAAUUUUUUAUUUUAGUUCAGGGUUCCUCGUCUCCCUUUUCUUUUAGAAUUAAGAAAGGGGCAGGUUGUGGAGGUACAGAUUUUUUUUAUUAAAUCAAAAGCAGAGGACUAUUUUCCUUUAAGGCUUCAACAUUGUGAUUAUUAAGACAUGUUAAUUAUUAAUCCUUAGGUGAAGUUGUGGCUAUACUAACACAUAUGGUAUUGCUUAAAGAGUUUAAUCUAGUUUCAUUUUGGAAAUUUUAAUGCUUUGAUGAAGUCAUCAAUAUAUUGUUAAGAAUGUUGUGUUUCUUUCAGCUGUUAUUUUAGGCAGGAACAGAUACUAUGGCACUUUGAGCCAAGACCUAGAAUUCUUUUGCAUACAGUAAUGUCUUAAAGGAGGUUAAUACCAGAAGCCUUAUAAUACUUACUUUCUUGAUAAGUGCCUUCCAAUACUUAUCUUUUUAUGAGAAGAUUGUUAGUUUAAUGUAGCAGAGCAGUGUUAGUGACUUCUCUGCAUUUUUCUAAAAAAAAACUGUAUGUUCGUCAUUAUCCCUUUACUGUGCGGGUGAAAUGACUCAAAUGCUGUUCUAAAGCUUUUAAUUUAGGUAUUUAUAGACUAUUGCCUUUUUCUAUAUGCGGGAGACGGUGCUUACCUCGUCUCUCAAUUGAAACCGCAGUACCUAUCAUCAGAUGUUAAUAUCUAGGACCUUGGGUGUACAGACAGGUUUUUGCUUUCAACGUAUGCAGAACAAUGGUAUUGUUGUUGUGCAUUCUCUUUAAUGAUCUCAAUCAGAUAUUCGUAGUACAUAUGGAGUCCGGACUAAGCAAUAAAAAUAGGUGUCUUAUAUUUUAAAGUCAUAAUCAUCUCAAUGUUUAUCAAUAGUAAACAAGAAUUAGUCAUUUGAUUUUCCAUUUGAAGCUCGUCUUAACUUUUCUAGUGCAGAUUGGUGAGUUUGAAGCAUGUGGAUGAGGAAAGGUUGUUUCUUGUUAAAUGGUUUAGACCAAAAUGUUGGAAGUUUAUCUAUAUACAAACUGCAAAGGCAAUAAUAAAACAAAGAGUAAUAUUCUUACCUGUUUAGCCAAGUUGUCAUGUCUCUGAUCCUCUGAAUGCUCCUCCUAUUCCGCUUUUGUCUGGAGUCCGGACUAAGCAAUAAAAAUAGGUGUCUUAUAUUUUAAAGUCAUAAUCAUCUCAAUGUUUAUCAAUAGUAAACAAGAAUUAGUCAUCACUGCGGAAUGUGAGGCUAUAGAGUAAUUGUUCAGUUCAGUAUCUGUUUCAUGUUCCUUAAACACAUGGCUGGGGUUAAGAUAUACAUUAGUUGUACUCAUGACGGAUAAACAAUAUCUUAAACCCCAUGACGGACAGCUUUAUUGUUUCAUGAAACAGUAUCUGUUUCAUGUUCCUUAAACACAUGGCUGGGGUUUAAGAUAUGUUGGACUUUAAGCCAUUGGGAUUUAAAGUAGAAGAAGUGUGAAUUGGAAAUGGAGGGAAAUGAAAUGG
Non-coding RNA from Nicotiana tabacum (common tobacco), 3356 nucleotides. Lineage: Eukaryota; Viridiplantae; Streptophyta; Magnoliopsida; Solanales; Solanaceae. The record is from RefSeq and is a predicted model, not a curated record.